Long non-coding RNA from Amphiprion ocellaris (clown anemonefish), 510 nucleotides. RefSeq lists it as uncharacterized. The record is from RefSeq and is a predicted model, not a curated record. The transcript has 2 exons. NCBI's taxonomy places the organism in Eukaryota, Metazoa, Chordata, Actinopteri, Pomacentridae.
UCUUUGCAAUGGGACCAUGCAAAAGCCUCAAGCUUACUAACUACAAGUACACAGCGGUAAUGUCAAUUCACAUUUGCUACUGCAUCACGUGUUUGGAAGUUUGUGCCUUCUCUCCGAUAUGACGUCUGAGAAGUUAAUCAGGGGAGAAACAUCUGCCUUGUUUCAAAUUGGCAACUUGCUUCACUGCCAAGUCUAAGGUCAACACGUUUACUACGCGAUACUACAUGUUGACAUGGAGUUGGAAACAAAAUCCCUAAGGUUUGAGAGAGAGAGACAGCAACAAAGGUCUAAUAUUUGAAGAUUUAACUGAUACCUGGAGAUCUUAGGUGUUGUUCUCAGCAGUAGAGUUGACAAAGAUGGUAAGCUGUGCACUAGGGGUGUCAAACAUGCGGCCCGCGGACCAAAACUGGCCCUCAAAGUGCAAAAAUUACAGAGAGGACAUUAACUGCAGAUUUUAAAUUGUAAAACUAUAAAUUUAAAAUAAAGUUGUUUUGAUCAUAGACUAAAAUA